RNAcentral lists this transfer RNA (78 nucleotides) under Acidobacteriota bacterium. RNAcentral's name for it is "Acidobacteria bacterium tRNA-Lys". It matches the Rfam family "tRNA". Rfam says of the family: Transfer RNA (tRNA) molecules are approximately 80 nucleotides in length. Their secondary structure includes four short double-helical elements and three loops (D, anti-codon, and T loops). Further hydrogen bonds mediate the characteristic L-shaped molecular structure. tRNAs have two regions of fundamental functional importance: the anti-codon, which is responsible for specific mRNA codon recognition, and the 3' end, to which the tRNAs corresponding amino acid is attached (by aminoacyl-tRNA synthetases). tRNAs cope with the degeneracy of the genetic code in two manners: having more than one tRNA (with a specific anti-codon) for a particular amino acid; and 'wobble' base-pairing, i.e. permitting non-standard base-pairing at the 3rd anti-codon position. The record is from RNAcentral. Lineage: Bacteria; Pseudomonadati; Acidobacteriota. RNAcentral also lists the same sequence under 1 other name.
GCCGGCGUAGCUCAGCUUGGUUAGAGCAGCGGUCUUUUAAACCGAUGGUCCAGGGUUCGAAUCCCUGCGCCGGCACGA